AAUAUUGCGCAAUGGGGGGAACCCUGACGCAGCAACGCCGCGUGAGUGAAGAAGGUUUUCGGAUCGUAAAGCUCUGUCAUCGGGGACGAAGAAAGUGACGGUACCCGAGGAGGAAGCCCCGGCUAACUACGUGCCAGCAGCCGCGGUAACACGUAGGGGGCGAGCGUUGUCCGGAAUUACUGGGCGUAAAGGGUGCGUAGGUGGCCAAAUAAGUCAGUUGUGAAAUACCGAGGCUUAACUUCGGGGGUGCAAUUGAAACUGUAUGGCUUGAGUGCAGGAGAGGAAAGUGGAAUUCCUAGUGUAGCGGUGAAAUGCGUAGAGAUUAGGAGGAACACCAGUGGCGAAGGCGGCUUUCUGGACUGUAACUGACACUGAUGCACGAAAGCGUGGGUAGCGAAC
Molecule: ribosomal RNA, 399 nt
Filed under: uncultured bacterium
Lineage: Bacteria
Description: partial 16S ribosomal RNA
Rfam family: Bacterial small subunit ribosomal RNA
Source: RNAcentral